RNAcentral lists this ribosomal RNA (704 nucleotides) under uncultured bacterium. RNAcentral describes it as "bacterial SSU rRNA". It matches the Rfam family "Bacterial small subunit ribosomal RNA", at positions 9 to 689 of the family's 1533-position model. The record is from RNAcentral.
CGAGUUUGAUCCUGGCUCAGAUUGAACGCUGGCGGUAGGCUUAACACAUGCAAGUCGAGCGGUAACAGACAUUUUGAUUUUGCUUGCAAAAUCUCGUGCUGACGAGCGGCGAACGGGUGAGUAACGCGUAGGAAUCUACCUAGUAGAAGGGGAUAGCCCGAGGAAACUCGGAUUAAUACCGUAUACGUCCUUAGGGAGAAAGAGGGCUUAGCUUUGAUGCUCUCGCUAUUAGAUGAGCCUGCGUAAGAUUAGCUUGUUGGUGAGGUAAAGGCUCACCAAGGCGACGAUCUUUAGCUGGUCUGAGAGGACGAUCAGCCACAUUGGGACUGAGACACGGCCCAGACUCCUACGGGAGGCAGCAGUGGGGAAUAUUGGACAAUGGGCGCAAGCCUGAUCCAGCCAUACCGCGUGUGUGAAGAAGGCUUUCGGGUUGUAAAGCACUUUAAGUAAGGAAGAAAAGAGUAUUGUUAAUACCAAUACUCCGUGACGUUACUUACAGAAUAAGGACCGGCUAAUUCCGUGCCAGCAGCCGCGGUAAUACGGAAGGUCCAAGCGUUAAUCGGAAUUACUGGGCGUAAAGCGCGCGUAGGUGGUUUAUUAAGUUGGGUGUGAAAGCCCCGGGCUCAACCUGGGAACUGCAUCCAAAACUGAUUCACUAGAGUACGAAAGAGGAAAGUAGAAUUCACAGUGUAGCGGUGGAAUGC